CUCGUAGGCGGUUUGUCGCGUCUGCUGUGAAAACCUGAGGCUCAACCUCGGGCUUGCAGUGGGUACGGGCAGACUAGAGUGCGGUAGGGGUGACUGGAAUUCCUGGUGUAGCGGUGGAAUGCGCAGAUAUCAGGAGGAACACCGAUGGCGAAGGCAGGUCACUGGGCCGCAACUGACGCUGAGGAGCGAAAGCAUGGGGAGCGAACA
Molecule: ribosomal RNA, 207 nt
Filed under: uncultured bacterium
Lineage: Bacteria
Description: partial 16S ribosomal RNA
Rfam family: Bacterial small subunit ribosomal RNA
Source: RNAcentral